GCCUGGGUGGCUUGGUUGGUUAAGCGUCUGACUUUGGCUCAGGUCAUGAUCUCGCAGUCUGUGAGUUCGAGCCCCGCGUCAGGCU
This 85-nucleotide transfer RNA is filed under the name Felis catus (domestic cat). It matches the Rfam family "tRNA". From Rfam's summary of the family: Transfer RNA (tRNA) molecules are approximately 80 nucleotides in length. Lineage: Eukaryota; Metazoa; Chordata; Mammalia; Carnivora; Felidae. The record is from Rfam by way of RNAcentral.